AAAAUUCACAAGAGAUCGAUGGGCAAAGAGUUCCACCACCAGCCACAUUUUUUCUUGCACAUCUUCAUCAUCCACCUCUCACGCUGCCGCCAAGAGGGUGAACCCAAGGGCAUCAGCACUAUAUGGAGAACCAAGGCCUAGGAACAUCCCAUGAGAGAAGGUGGAGCAUCAGCGGAAGCCGCAACCACAACACCAGGUGCUAGGUCUACCACUGGGUAUCCAUACUCUCUUCCCAAAUUCACAUCCACUUCAAAUGGAGGAGGUAUAUGAAGAAAAUUAUAUACCUAUUGAAAAUAGGAAGGGUAUAAUUAAUCAAUUGGAUAUGUAUAUGUAGUAUAUAUAUAUAGCAUAAAGUUAAUUAUCCAUUGGAUAUUAGUGGGUUUGGGGAGGGUAAGGAGUGGAUAAUAAUUAUUUGGAUUUGGACGUGAACAAGAGUGAAUUUGUCCAUACCCUCUUAGUGGCAGGUCUACCAGGUGCUGCAGGGCGUAAGGUACCAGUGCACUUGUUUGCCUUGAGAUUUCGUCCCGACAAUCGUUACCGUAAGCCAUGUCUUUAACGGGGUAAUUUCUUUAUUCGUACCAUGGAUGGA
Molecule: long non-coding RNA, 589 nt
Filed under: Setaria italica (foxtail millet)
Lineage: Eukaryota; Viridiplantae; Streptophyta; Magnoliopsida; Poales; Poaceae
Description: long non-coding RNA (SITA_LNC001325)
Source: RNAcentral